This 555-nucleotide ribosomal RNA is filed under the name Saccharomyces cerevisiae (brewer's yeast). RNAcentral's name for it is "partial large subunit ribosomal RNA". It matches the Rfam family "Eukaryotic large subunit ribosomal RNA", at positions 89 to 658 of the family's 3401-position model. The record is from RNAcentral. Lineage: Eukaryota; Fungi; Ascomycota; Saccharomycetes; Saccharomycetales; Saccharomycetaceae.
GCGAGUGAAGCGGCAAAAGCUCAAAUUUGAAAUCUGGUACCUUCGGUGCCCGAGUUGUAAUUUGGAGAGGGCAACUUUGGGGCCGUUCCUUGUCUAUGUUCCUUGGAACAGGACGUCAUAGAGGGUGAGAAUCCCGUGUGGCGAGGAGUGCGGUUCUUUGUAAAGUGCCUUCGAAGAGUCGAGUUGUUUGGGAAUGCAGCUCUAAGUGGGUGGUAAAUUCCAUCUAAAGCUAAAUAUUGGCGAGAGACCGAUAGCGAACAAGUACAGUGAUGGAAAGAUGAAAAGAACUUUGAAAAGAGAGUGAAAAAGUACGUGAAAUUGUUGAAAGGGAAGGGCAUUUGAUCAGACAUGGUGUUUUGUGCCCUCUGCUCCUUGUGGGUAGGGGAAUCUCGCAUUUCACUGGGCCAGCAUCAGUUUUGGUGGCAGGAUAAAUCCAUAGGAAUGUAGCUUGCCUCGGUAAGUAUUAUAGCCUGUGGGAAUACUGCCAGCUGGGACUGAGGACUGCGACGUAAGUCAAGGAUGCUGGCAUAAUGGUUAUAUGCCGCCCGUCUUGAA